GAUGAACGCUGGCGGCGUGCCUAAUACAUGCAAGUCGAGCGAACAGACGAGGAGCUUGCUCCUCUGACGUUAGCGGCGGACGGGUGAGUAACACGUGGAUAACCUACCUAUAAGACUGGGAUAACUUCGGGAAACCGGAGCUAAUACCGGAUAACAUGUUGAACCGCAUGGUUCAACAGUGGAAGACGGUUUUGCUGUCACUUAUAGAUGGAUCCGCGUCGCAUUAGCUAGUUGGUAAGGUAACGGCUUACCAAGGCAACGAUGCGUAGCCGACCUGAGAGGGUGAUCGGCCACACUGGAACUGAGACACGGUCCAGACUCCUACGGGAGGCAGCAGUAGGGAAUCUUCCGCAAUGGGCGAAAGCCUGACGGAGCAACGCCGCGUGAGUGAAGAAGGUCUUCGGAUCGUAAAACUCUGUUAUUAGGGAAGAACAAAUGUGUAAGUAACUAUGCACGUCUUGACGGUACCUAAUCAGAAAGCCACGGCUAACUACGUG
This 497-nucleotide ribosomal RNA is filed under the name uncultured bacterium. RNAcentral describes it as "partial 16S ribosomal RNA". It matches the Rfam family "Bacterial small subunit ribosomal RNA", at positions 28 to 507 of the family's 1533-position model. The record is from RNAcentral.